Molecule: long non-coding RNA, 470 nt
Organism: Gopherus evgoodei (Goodes thornscrub tortoise)
Lineage: Eukaryota; Metazoa; Chordata; Testudines; Testudinidae
Exons: 4
Source: RefSeq, a predicted model, not a curated record
CCGGAUCGCCGGUAGAUGCGGGACCGGGUGAGGCUGGCCCGGGGGGUGGCCGCUCCGGGAGCGUGUCCGACGUGGGGGCAGAAAUAACGAGCUUUGUGCAGAUAAAUGGUCACACCUGACUGAAAUGCUCAUGAAGACACCUCUUAGGAAUGAAGUGCCUCUGCUGGAAAAGUCCUCAAGAAUGUAUUCAUAAUAACCAGAUGCCUAGAUGUACUUCAUAGAACUUGCAAGACACUUUUUGACAUAAAUCUCCUUGAAGAGUGACAGAUUCCCAGGGAAAAAACGAACAAGAUAAGUAAUGGCUAGGACAGCACAACAGUUGGUAGCCUCAGUUUGCAUGGCUAAAUUUUUGACCCAGCUCAUGUUUCAGUUCUGAAAUGGAAUAAAACUAGUCAUUCAUCUCUGAAUAAUGUAUUUGGGGAAUGUUUUUAUACUAUACUCACUAAUAAACAAUUUUGUAGUACAAUGUA